Molecule: long non-coding RNA, 12350 nt
Filed under: Triticum aestivum (bread wheat)
Lineage: Eukaryota; Viridiplantae; Streptophyta; Magnoliopsida; Poales; Poaceae
Description: long non-coding RNA (TAES_LNC003564)
Rfam family: MIR1120/MIR1122 microRNA precursor family (bases 11215-11349)
Source: RNAcentral
UGAAAACUGAAAUGCUCCAGAGGCGGUACUUGAAAAAUUAGAGAACCACCAUAUGUCCAAAGUCUUCUCUGAUGUUAUGUUAUGUGUCGUAUGUGUGUUUACACUAAGUACUUGAAUGGUGCAUGUCCUUUGAUGUCUCAGUGUUUGGAAUCACUUGGUGAGGGACAGUGUUAGCUGUAUCUGUGGGUGGUCAAUUAGUCAACUGCUCUAAUCUUGAGGGCAUGUUUCUAGAUUAGACCCAGCAUUAUUCUGGGGCACCUAGGUAAGCUGCACUACUAUUGUCAUAUGUAAAUGUUAUUGUUAUGUUAUAGAAUAACUAUGGUAUUAGUCAGAACUGCUUACUGAAUUCUUAUGUGACCUUGGUGCUUGGUUGAAGCAGUUAUCCAAUUUUCAGAAAACUAUCAGUAUUGCAAUACCUAUUUCCAGUGUGAAUCAUUGGGCAGGUGUAUUCACUAAUUUAAGCCUCUUAGAAGGUCCGGUUUGGAACGCGAGAAUUUUUCUGGGUUCCAGAUUGAAUUAUUUCCUGCGAAAUUCUUCUUGUCCCAAACAUGCCCUAAAAGUUUAUUCAUCCACUUCUUCUGUCAGCCAUCUGUAAAGAUGGUGGAUUUGACAACCUACUGAAAGUGGUAUUGUCAAACCGGGUUUCAUAAUGAAAGAAAGUUGUCACUUAAUCUCUAAGUGUUUCUCUUAUGGGUAUUCUCACAUUUGAGAAUCUUGGAAUAAGGUUUUCUAAGUAUGGUACCCUCUAGUUAUGGUCGGUAUGAUGAGAAGGAUGGCUAGUUAGUCCAUGUCAUUUCCGAAGACACUUUUCUGAAUACAAUAGUCAAAAAUAUACAAACAUGUGCUGGUUACAUUUUGCGCAAUCACCUACCGUUACCAUACCCCUUGUAUGUAUUCUGUGACAUCCUAUUGAGCACAUGCUGAUUCUUUAUUCUUGAUUUGCCUUAGAAACUAAGGAUCAUGUGUUAAUCAGCAAACAAAGCAUGCCACCUAUCUUUUUUUUUCGAUAAGGGGGGACUCCCCGGCCUCUGCAUCAGAACGAUGCAUACGGCCACCUCAAUAAAUAAAAUAGGUUCAACAAAGUCGUAUAGUCUUCAACAAAAUAAAAGCAAGCUCACCUAGAACCUCGAAGCUAAACCAAGAAAAAACCAUAAGCCAAGAAAAAGCCAUAAGCCACAACCGGCUGGUAAAAUGAAGAUAGGAAAACUAAUUGACUAUCCUAUUACAUGACCGCCAACCAAACCGGUUGAAGAUAUCCCGCGCUAUCAUCUCCCACCGGACAGAUCCAGUAACCAAACGCUCCCUGGCCUCCGUCGGAGUGAGUAAGGACCACAUACGGAUCAGCGCCGUAGCACGGAAUACAACCUGCAAAAAAUGAAUAGUAGUUAUCCUGUUAAAAACCAAGUCAUUUCUGCAGUUUCAAAUUGCCCAUAACAACGCAUACACUCCUACACGAAUAUGCCUAGCUGUAUCGGACUCUAUCCCAUCCAGCCACGUUCCAAAUAACGACCCAACCGUACUUGGAGGAGUGAUGUUAAAAGCAAUUUGCACAGAGCGCCACAGAAUUCUCGCCAAAGGACAAUCAAGGAAGAGAUGCUUAAUGGUCUCAUCAUGAUCACAGAAGCUACACCUAGUAGAUCCAGUCCAAUUGCGCUUGACCAAGUUGUCCUUUGUUAAAAUUACCUGUUUAUGGACAAACCACAUAAACACUUUAAUUUUCAAAGGCACAUGUACUUUCCACACAUGCCACCUAUCUGUACUGUCUUGGCAACUUCCUGCAAGCAUGUGUUCAAUUGUAUAGCAUAUUUGACUUGGUGAUAGUACAGUUAAGCUGCAGUUUUGUUGAUGUGAGUAUGCAGCUGCAAAAUUGGCAGCAAAACUUAGUUUGUCAAAUCAAAUGUACAACUGUCAAAACCAUACAAUGUCAUUUUGCCGACAUCGGAGAAGGAGGAAUAUAGCAUGGUUUCUUCUUUAGUAAAAUAUGAUAUAAUGCUGACAUAUAAUGUUAGCUUAUCUAUUGAUGUAAUCUAUCAAUUCUGUAGAGCUGGUUGUUGGGAUUUCCAGGAUUGCUUUCAACUUAAGUUCAGACAAGCAGAACAAACUAAUGGUGAUUGGCUGAUGGUUCCCCUUAUACCGGUCUCUUCCUUUCAAACUUUGUUCAUCUGUCCCACUGACACAAAGAGAUGUCACAAUAUCAUAUGAUCUAUUAUAUGAUACAUGUCACUGUUUUUGUCUCGCGGACUAAUAUUUGUCAAAAGUAAAUUUGACCACAAAAAUCUUCUUGAAAUUAACUUGGUUGCCAAAGGCAUGUUCUGUUAUAUUAAGAAUGUGUGCUCUAGAUCAAAAGCAAGUAGAACUAAACAUGCACAUUACCUGCCAGGGCACAUCCUGUUCAUAAUCUUAUAAAGAAAUACCAAUGUUGAUUCACACGCAGAGAAAAGAAUCAAUAUGUCAUCAGCAACUUGGAUAAGCUAGAGUGACACGAGACCUAAUCACCAAGCAACACUAGCAACAACCUUGAUUACUAUCAUGACUUCAUGAGUCAUGACAUGCAUGUUCCUUCUGCUUCAAGGUAUAAUCCCAUCACAGAGUUCUAAUUAAAGUCCACAUACACUAUGUAUCCACCACUAUGGAUCUUUUUACAAGAAACUACUCAUGCAUGCAUCCUCCUUUCUAUCUACUAUAGGCAGUGAGCUUCAAUUACCUCUCCACUGGCAGCCUUCAACUAUUAUCACUUUGAGUCUGAGUGACCAAAUUAUGCCCAUUAGGUGACACCUACUUUCAGCGAUAGGCCUAUUACUGCAAACAGCCUAGCUAACAAGCUUUUGUAGUGGACAAUAAUUGUGGUUGAGUACCGGUGUUAAGACUUGGCAAUCACAAAAAUCGCCCUUUGCUGACACCUUAGCUGCUAAUGGUGAUGCAUUGUUAGACUUUGGAGCGAAAACCGAUGGUGUUGUUUCUUUCAACAGUAUUCCUGACCCAACAGAUACAGUGACAGAGGUUGUUCAGAAGAUGUUGAGUUUGCGAUGACAUUUUUCCAAACCAUCGGUUCGCAGCGGUACAGUUAUCGUAGUCGGAAACAGACAUUUCAAAGUGGCGUAUAUCUGAAUUUACCUUUGGGAAAUAGUCAUGCGCCUAUCCCCUUUUGUCUUCUGACACAACGUUUCCUGAAUCAUUCUUCCAAAUAAAUGACAUUGUGCUGCAACUGAAGUCAAAUCACGUUUAUUUCCGAAACCGUUAUGUUUCCCUUUUUUUUUCUUUUUUUUGUACUAUAUCUUAAUAUGUACCCAUCCAUAUCCUUCAUGGCCGAUAAUUCCAAUAUCAGUACUAUCGUCUUGCUGCAUAUGUGGAUGAUCUCCAUGGUGUAUAUAUGUUACGUCGAAACUAAUAGUACCAAAUAUAUUUCCGGUAAGCUUAUUACAGAUGACAAGGAUGCUUAUUUUGUUUUCUUGGCCCAACAAGAAGCAUCUGUCUCAUGGAAGGCAAGGGUUGCAUUGCUCCGUCUGUUUACGAGAGCUUUAAAAGAGGAAAGUGGAAUUCCACUUUGACAAAUUCUCAAGUCUCAAACGAGAAUAGAUUCUAAAACAAGCCAAAAUGCUGCUUUUCCUGAGCCUUAUUUGAAGCAACUGCAUCUUAGCAUUCUCUGAGCGCUUCAUUCCCCGAUCCAAGCAAAGUUAUGCUGAAGCCUAAAGAACGGAGACUUCCUUUCCAGGAACUGAAUCAGACGAACAAAAUAAAUUGCAGCACUGAAUUCCAAGCUUGUGAAACUGAAACCUCACUCUGAUGUUACAUUGAAAUGGCACUUGUGCCCAGAUCCUUUGCACCAAGCAUGGAACAUGGCAAGUGCAAGCAAGGACAACUGGCCACUCAGAGCAAGAAUGAUGGCCUGCCACAACUCAUGGACAAAGACAAUUUGGCUCAAUUCAAACAAUUUUGGGACCAUUCAAAUUCUAUAAAGAAACGUAAGCGGGUUAAGCGGUCGAGCUCUCGGCGCACGCUUGCCUAUCUGUCGCGUCGCACGCCGUGUGAUGCUCGUUCCUUAUCUGAAAGCUGGGGAGCAAUCGUCCGAGUCACGCUGCGUUGCUGCAAAGGCAUAGGUAUGAUAGACAAUUAUGCCUGCCAUGCCCCAGGUUUAGCCCAGUUGAGCACCUAUUCUUUUCGCAGUAGUCAGUGCUAAGUCGUGUGCUCUUGAGAGAUACUCAUGCCUUCCCUCUCUCUGCUUUUCCUCGAUGCUUCCUCUGCUUUGGUAGCGCAAACCUGUGAGCUCUUUUUUCCUUUUCUCUGUGAUGAAGAACGACAAUCCUGUGAGCUCUGAUUUUUGCCUUCCUUCUCUAACCGCUCACUCAUCAAUGCUAGUACUCCUACAUCAAACUUACAGUGCGAUUGUACCAUUUUGGUGCAGUAAGCAGCAACUGGUUAGUACAGUACGAUCAAACUUAACUUACGGGCUACCACUACUUAACCACUAGCUAGCCAGUACUGCAUGAGACGUGUAAGCGCCAAAUGCUAAUCAAUGCCGUAAUGCAUGGUCCUGUGGCUACAUUUGGCUGCUUCCUUUGGCAUCCACUGUUCCUCUAUGCUGAACCUGCACUAGUUAGUUAAAAGCCACUGAACAGUAACACUGCCGUGGCUUCAUGGCACGUCCAUUUCCAGUCCUCUAAUCAAUACUCACUGCAUCAGAAACAGCAAUGCACAACCACUACGAACGAACCUUCUUCACCAGCUAGCCAGUAGCCAGUGGCCAGUGGCCAGUACAAAAGCGUCCAGCUCUACUAAGAUUCUGCCGCUUUUACACUGCGAGGAAGUGGAGCAGCGGUCAGAUACCCGUCGCCUUUGUACACACAUGUGCACAUGCAUGAUGCAUCAGCACAUGGCCGAAAUGCUAACGAGAUAUAUUCACCCACAGACGCAGACUAACCAAUGAUUAAUCAGUGCUGAUGAAGGCGAGAACAUAUGUCUUUGGGACAGCCGAUGCACUGUUCCAAUCUGUAAAUUAAAGAAGACACGGCACAGCAGUGUGCCCCAUGAGGCUGAUUAAUUAAAAAGCGCAUGUAUAUGAGGAAAAAUCAUGGGAGCAGAUCCUCCUUAGAAGCAAAGGGGAGAGGAGGACAAGGAAAGGUAUGUGUGUAUGCAGAGUUGCAGCGGGAGCCUAACGAAGCUUAAUUUGCAGGCAAAUAACAGCCGCUUUUAAGGGCCCUCGACCUGCUUGCUCGCUAGGUUUUGGAGCCUGGUAUUUUGUGAAGGACGAGCCGAAGAGCUUCUGCUCGUCUCUGAGAGGGAGGCACGAGGCAAGCUAAGGCAGGCCGGAUUUCGUCUGAAGAAUAUUAAGCUUCUCGUCCCUGCCUCUCUGCCGCAUUGCGUUUCAACUCACUCAGGUACCACUGAAAACCUAUGCAGCCUAUGAAAAUUCAGGCUUGCUCUUCUUGUUUAGUCUUGUUUUCGAUCGGUUUUGUUUGGAAUCUUGGAAUUUUCCGUCUCGUUUUUUCUCUUGUGGUGCGUGCCGUUCGCCAUUGCUGCAUCUGUCGUUACUUUUUCUCGGACCGAAGUUGCGUCGUAGCUUAGCUUGUGAACUGGAAUCAUGCGCUGCAUUUCACAACUUCAGUUACGCGUUGUCCAAUUACUCUCGAUCCUCUUGUAGCAAACAGGUUCAUCGUAGCUGAGGUUAAUCUUCAGAGUUCAGACUACUGAACUUAUCGGGCGUGAUUAACAACAAGACAAUAUGUUACUAGUAAAGUAAAAAAGGCGAUGAGAUCCUAGCUUUCGGCAAACGUAGCACACUUUUUGGCAAAAGUAGCUAGCUGCCUCACAAGUCAGAACCGCGUCGUAAUGAACACGUGGUCCGCUAGUGGUAAUCUUUUUUUUUUUCNNNNNNNNNNNNNNNNNNNNNNNNNNNNNNNNNNNNNNNNNNNNNNNNNNNNNNNNNNNNNNNNNNNNNNNNNNNNNNNNNNNNNNNNNNNNNNNNNNNNNNNNNNNNNNNNNNNNNNNNNNNNNNNNNNNNNNNNNNNNNNNNNNNNNNNNNNNNNNNNNNNNNNNNNNNNNNNNNNNNNNNNNNNNNNNNNNNNGAACGCCCCACCGGUUGUUAUAUUACCCGAAAGCGACGUAGCGUCAUAUAGUGUUUCUCAUCGAGGAGAUAAAAAACAUCAAGAUAAGAGGUAAAAAAACAGAAGAAAGAGAGAGAGGAAAAACUAGGCAGCUAAGGAAAUGAAGGAGCGAAACAGGAAGAGCUGCUCCCUCGAUUCAGUCUCAAAACGCUUGGACCACAGAAGUGUAUCGUCGGCCGCUCGCCGGAGGACGUCGCCAGCCCUGCAAAUGAUGGAGUUGAACACCACAUCGUUCCUGGCUUUCCUUCUUGUCUUCGGAACAGCGUCGGCGUCGUACCAGCUUUGCUGAUGCCACAUACGCAAAUCUCAUUUUGGGUGCGAAGAAGUUACCACAAAAGGCCAAAGAAAAUGCUUCACGGCUUGUCCAAUUGUUGUCGCAUAUCCUUGUCACCGGCCGGGAAUGUAUUACGUAUAACAUACGUAGUUCAUGUCGUCAUCCUAGCCUGACGAGACCCUGUAAAUCACCAUCGGCGACACACCUCAACUCAUCUAUUACCAUGUUUCCUCCACGUUCUUUUUGUGAAUAUAUGCCGCGAUCGAGCCCAUGUUGUACAAUCUACCGUGUUACAGCAGUGUAUAACUAACUACUUGUGCAGGCCUGUCAGUGUGCAACAUCUGGCACAUCAUGCAUGCUCAACACGCCCGCCUGAUUCCGUUGCCAUUGUAGGAGCUCCAGCUGGGAGUAUUAUUAGCACACGUCAAUCAGAAUUCAGAGACCUUAUCUACGGCACAAACCGUAUGCGUGUAUUUCUGUAUUUGUAACCCAUACGCGCACAAUUCACAUGUACGUGCUGGGAAUGGGAUCAGAGCCUCUGAUCCGCCGUAGACAGGCAAGCACAAUCAUGGGCACAUGAUGCUUCCCCUCUGUCUCGUCCCAUGUCCAUCAUCGUCGGACACAAGCUAAGCUACGGUCAAACUGAACCCCAAUCAGGAUCGAAUGGAUGCACAGUGCAGCUCGGCGAGAUGAUCGCCCUGAUCAUUGGGGGCGGAUUUCUUCUUCUUGUCCCAGAUCUAGGAGAGUGUGUAGUGUUCAUGUCGUUACCGCUGUCCAUGCAUGGCUCCGCGGGAGAGAAAAGAAACGGAGUCUGUCCUGGAUUCUUCUGCGUAUAGUUUUUCUUUUAAAAUCGCCGGCCCGUUUGUUUCUGUGCACUAGAAUCGGUGAUCCGGUUCGCUGUUCUCGGACCAAAAUCCAAAGCUCCGUCUACAUGCUUAUACAGAAACCGAUACACGAAGCUUGUUUCCCUGUCCACGUGCUUACAUAAACCGAUACGGUUCUUGCACGUGGUUUCCCAUGCGUCGGCUGCGGAUUUGUCGUGCUGUAAUUUAGAUUGCCAUGCUCCUUUUUGUGAUCGAGUAACACGUAGUGCUCUCGUACCGACACAUCACUAGACCAACCCAACCCAGCAUUCAGCACAAGCGUAAUGCCGACCGAUGUGAUGCUCUCGUGCAAGGACCGGCCGGCACACCCGGCGGCAGCAGAUGCGGACAGAGAGGCGAAAACGGCAAGGAGGCUUCCAGCCAUUUAAAGGGCACUUUUUUUUUUUUUUUUUUGCGAAAGGGCACUGUGUAGCGCAGGGAGCGGUGGCCGCUGGUCCAGACCUGUACUCAAGAAAGAAAGAAAGCAUGCAUGUCUUGGCUCCGUCUUCCGUCCAGUAAUCUCCUCGAAAGGAGAGAGAGAAUUCUUAACGCCACCUUUACAGAGGAGGGAGCGGCCUUUUUGUCCCGCGAGCCGAGCGAGCAGGUGCGGAGGAGGAAGGAAGACCGGCCCGAGGCGUGCUCCACGGACCGACGCGGAGGAGAUACCAGCGCCGGUUGCGAUAAGGUGGCCGAAAGACGAGCGCUUUGUGCCAAGUGCGUGACAACUGACAAACCCCGGAGGUUUCGGCUGGAUCGCUCCGCUUUACAGCCUCCGCUACGCAUCCAUCCAACCCAACCCAACGCUACGCCCGUCUCCGUGGCCUGUGGGGAUGCCAUGCCAUGGCCUUUCCCCGUUGGUACAGCUUCCAGCCAAAGGCGGGGGGCACUUGUACUGCUGUCUUAUUAUAGACACUGUAACUAACCAACCACACGUACGUACUAGUACUGAGUGUAGCCAAGUAUGGUUGACCUAGGAAUAACUAGCGUGAAUGCCAAGUUUUUUUUUGGGGGGGGAGAGCUGCCUCUCUCUCUGAUUGGUUAGGCUCGGACAGGUAAAGCCCACUCGGGUGGCCUGAGCCCAACGACUUCCCUUUCCCGGUCUGGCUAGAGACAAGCACUCGGGGUCAGAUUAAUUGCGACCGUCGACGUCCCCCGUUGAUGAAUUAGGAAAGGUUUAUCAGAUCGGUAACGUAAGACUCCGUCCGACGUGACACGCCUGCGUGCAUCGUAGGUGCAGUGGGUGCCACCGUUCCAUCUAAUGAGACGCACGUAGUAUUAUACUACAUCCCAGCUAAACUUUCCGGUGGCCAUGGGAUUGUUUAUGGCUGCUUCUCAGUGCACACCAUGCUGCUUUAGUUGUUCAUUCAAGCAACCGCACGUAUAUUAAUUGUGUGCGUGUGCGUGUACAGAGUAAAGAUUGUUAUCGCCACCGAUAGCUAGCGUACAACGCAAAAUACUGCCUCUUGUCAAAUACAAAACCUCUUUUUUCUCCUUUUGACUUUAGAUAAUACAACAUGCUGUCAUUAGGGGUGGUUGAUGUUGAUUGUUACUGCUGCAUCUUGUAGUUCACUUCGACGGGAUAUUAUGUCACCUUUCUUUUACGUAUUUUUUUUGCAGGCAAACCUUUUUUUACGUUGAUGUUUUGUAUUCUUUUGAUGCUAGUGUCAAAAAAGUCUUACAUUAUGGACGGGGGAGUAAUAAAAUACACCGUUUACUAUAAAGAAAAUUAGACAUUGUAUCGGAAGAAGAAGAAAAAAGGCCAACCACUUUUGGCCUCAGAAUUUAAAAAGACCAACCACUCUUAGCCAUUUAUUAGAAAGAAAAUGCAGUAAGUAUUUCUAAAUGUGGUAAAAUUUGUCACGAUGUCACAGCUAAGGUGUACAAGGAAUGGGCAGCAAUAUACAACAAUAAACUGCACGCAUCAACCACUUCAUAAGAAAACAAUUGUCGAAAAAAAAAUGACUAGCAAUAUACUUGAACACAUUUGAAUCACGACAAGGACCGAGUAGAGGAACCGAGCAAAACUCACUAAAGACCUUGCAGCCGGUGAGCUAAGGUUCAAAAGCGACUAAGGGUGGAGGCGGACAAGCAGGACCAUGCCACUUAGAGCAUUUUCAACCAGACUCGUACGAGCCCACUGAUAUGUCUGGGAGGGGCAACCCAAACUCAAAAACGCCACCCAACCUAACUCAUAUGUUUUGAACUAUCUGGCACCCCCUUUUCAACUCAUAUGCGAAACAAAUUUGAGACCACCCGGACACGUCCACCACGCCGGACUGAGUGGUACGACCAAGACGCACAGAAAAACCCAACAGUCUCCUAGGAGGUCACCGUUUUGGUGCCUCAUUCAUGGUGCCGCACCAGUGCGCUGCCUGAGGGGUCAAUCCCGGGCUAUAUAUUAAAGUCGGACGGUGAGGGCCAAACGCCCAAACCCUAGCGGCCCUCAUUUCCUACCUUUCCCCUCCCACCCGGUUGCCACCACGCCCCCGUCGUCUGUUCCGACCUCGCCGCCUGCUAUUCUCCAUGGGAUGCAAGAACAUUAUUGAUUACAAGAUGCGCACACUGGUGCGCGGGGCAAAGCUCGUGGCGGAGAUGCACAUCAUAGAGCAUGGUGCUCCGCCUGCAUUGUGGUCCGCCAACCUCUUUGGAGAUGAGAUCAGAGGAAGAGGAGAAGGAUGCAAGCAUGGAUGUUGAUGAUGAAGAUGAGAUGUAUGUUUAACCCACUGCCGGGUUCGAGGUGGAGGACGCCGCGAUUGCCGGGGGCGAUGGCAUCUACUACCUCUCGAUGAAGGAGGCGGAUUAGUAGUUCCUCCUCGCCUAAGCCGAGGAGCCGGUACACCUCGCGGCGGAGUCACAUUUCGAGGCCGAACGCGCGGAUGUUGUUGCCUUCACCGAGCUCGUUUGUGACAACACCCUAAUUCUUGAGUCUAAGUGAGUGGUGGCGGCGAACUACCACCAAAUCUACCUCCGCUACGUCGAGCGGGGUGAGCUCUUCACGGACGAUGCCGACAACGAGAAGAUGCUCUCGAUCUCUCCCACCGCCAACGACCACGAGGCCGGCAACUCCAGCAAGGGUUCAUCGAGGUAGGAGUAGGACAGUACGUGGUUUGCAAUUUUUCUUUUCGAAUGCAGCACGUUAUUUAUCUAUAUAAGAUGGAAUUACAUACGAAAAUUGCAUGGCUUUGCAUGAAAUUAUGGUCUUGAAUUUGAGGGUUAUGAUUGCCCGGGCAAAAUGGGAUGCAGGGAAAAAGACACGUACUGACGCACGCAAUCUACUCCGUAAGUUGCAUUUUCGCUCCUGCUAGUCACACGUUGGUCGAGUUAAUAUGACACACGAGCGCAUCACGUGAAACAACGGGAGAUUAAGGUACAGAUCUGAAGGUACUUAGCACGUCCAGCAUUUUAAAUUGAAGUACGUACAGUAAUUAACGUAGGAAAGUAGCGCGCGCGUGCGUACGUACCUACGUGCAGCUGCCGUCCUGCGCAGGUACGUACCUACGUGCGUACGCGCGCGUGCGACGGCUCGCCGUCUGCGCGGUUCCCCCGUCUCCGUUGGACGACGACGUGCCCGUCUUGGCGGGUAAUACGACGGGUCGGCGUCGUCGGCGCGCACCGGAGGGUACGCACGCGCCUACGUACGGUCUUGUUGGACCGACCGGCCGGUUGAUUGAACAUGACGGCUGUAUCUUUCAAUCAGCUCUGCAUGCCCAUAUACACUAGCUUUCUUUUUCUUUUCUUUUGCGGGCCAUAUAUAUAUAAUUGCCCCUAAAGAAAGUAUGCCGAAUAUAAUAUAUGACCAAGUGUUCCCGAGUCCGGUGAGCUUCAUCUGCCCGCGUGUAAUUCAAUUGAUGGAUUUCUCAUGCAGAAAUCCUAUUCCUACGAACUACAAGUAGUUUUACAAAAACUUUACGUAUUGCGUGAGGCGGGAUAACCACCUGGCGCAAACGCGUGAACAACCUUCCCAAGGUUCAACUAAUAUGUGCUCCCUCCGUUCGGAAAUACUUGUCAUCAAAAUGAAUAAAAAAAUAUGUACCUAGACUUAUUUUAGUUUUAGAUACAUCCUUUUUUCUUCAUUUUGAUGACAAGUAUUUUCGGACGGAGGGAGUAGGAUUUUCCUAAAAUCAUUGCAUGAGAAUAGCAUCGCUCUUUCACAUGUGACUUGAAAAUUUCGGGUUCACAAAUGCCGGUACUAUUUGCAUGUUUACCAAUUGAGAAAUAACUAACGGACGGUGAAAGGCCAAAUGGAGUAUGCUACAUAGUUUAUGGUUACCAAUUUAAGAUAAGGCAAAUAAUUUGGCAUGCAGUUGGCAGUUUGGCACUUGACCUCAUGUGGCAUGUUUGGUUUCAAAGCAAACAGCCAUGUCAUCAUAUCCCUCUAUUGACACAGAAAUAUCAAGUCGAUAAUUACAGUGGCAGCUCAUGUAACGACACAAAUUGGUGCGACAAUGUAACAUAUACUCCCUCAGUCCAGAAUUACUUGUUAUCAAAAUGGAUGAAAAUUGAUGUAUCUAGAACUAAAAUACAUCUAGAUACAUCCAUUUCACUGACAAGUAUUUUCAGACGGAGGAAGUACUACAAAAAUAAAGAUAAAGAGGACGGCAAGGAGAAGGGUGUUGUGUCGGCGCUGGAACUAGUGUCCACGUAAGAAGCUCACAUCCUUUUCUAAAUGGAAUUUGUAAUACAAAAAUCCAUUUUGGCUCUAGGGGGCACAUGCUCCUGCGUGUCAAAAAUGAAUUUUACAAAUGUAAAAAGAUAAUUAAAAAAUAGAUAUGCCCAUUGUCACUUCCAAACGAUACAUGCAAAUUUUCAAGGAGAAACUUAAGCAUUUUGACCAGUGCAAAAAAAAAAAGGAUCAAACACCAAAUAUUACCUUCAAAUGUUACACUUAAUUUUGUUCUUUUCACCGAUGAAGCACUGCUAUCUCAUAUGGCAUGAAAAUUGUCAAGCACACCUGCUACACUAAUAUGAACAUCUACCAAAAAAAAAAUCAGAAUUUUUCAAAUUUAUUUUGUUUUUUUUGUUUAUUAGGGAGCAUAUGCUCCUCAGAUCCAAAAAUCCGCGUUCUUUGUUUUGUUUUGUUAUACGUAUAUAUGCAAUGAGCGGACACUCAGC